GUGCUCAAAUUGGUAGCAGAUAUACUAAAAUUGAAACAAUACAGAGAUUUGCAUGCCCUCGUGCAAGGAUGGCACACAAACUCUGGGGAUGUUGCAUGUUUUU
This is a non-coding RNA of Erinaceus europaeus (western European hedgehog), 103 nucleotides long. NCBI's taxonomy places the organism in Eukaryota, Metazoa, Chordata, Mammalia, Eulipotyphla, Erinaceidae. The record is from Rfam.